This is a long non-coding RNA of Solanum pennellii, 732 nucleotides long. RefSeq lists it as uncharacterized. The record is from RefSeq and is a predicted model, not a curated record. The transcript is spliced from 3 exons. Lineage: Eukaryota; Viridiplantae; Streptophyta; Magnoliopsida; Solanales; Solanaceae.
UAUCAAAACUCUAACUCAAAUGUAUCUCUCUCUCAUACCCACCCCCCUUCACCCGCCUCUCUCUCUUUCCCUCAUCUCUUCUCCCCUCGCACCGCUUUCCUCUUCUUCUCCUCCGAACGGAUCACCGGUGAGCAGCAGCCCCGACGACUCCUCUCUCUCCCUGUCGUCUUUCUCUUCUCCUCUUCCCUCGACCCCUCUCUCUUUCCCCCUCCUCUCUUCUUUCUUCCUCUAUCCCCCUCCCGUCUCUUCUCCACAGCAAACUCCGGCGAGGAUCAACAGCCAACCAUCGGCGAGCAUCCGGCAGCAGCAGCAGCAACCACAACUUUGGCAGAACCCCAGGCGGCCAGCAGCUCCAACCAACGACAGCAAGCCAGCAGCUCGGCUAGAGGGCGAUAGCAACAAUACCAACUGCUCAAUGAUGUUCAUAAGUUAUCAACAGCAACUGAGGAAGCUCAACAUAUAAAAAAGUUGAUACAACAUUAUAUUGCUUCUUUCAUCAAAGUUGGAGAUAAGGAAAUAUUCUUCCUCCAUGUCCCGCAAGUAGUGAUGAUGGAGCUGAUCAGGAGGAUGAUGAGAAUGAUAAGGGUGAUAAGGAGAGUGACGGUGAUAACGAGUAGUUGUAUUGGUUUGAUAUUUUAGACUUCUACAUUUUUGGAAUUGUUUGAUCGUAUUUUAAUUUAAUUUGAAGUUGGAUGAAGUUUAUUUUAAAUAGUUCAAUGUUUAUUUUGAAAA